GUGCUCACUUCAGCAAUGUACAUAUAUUAAAAUUGGAACAAUACAGAGAAGAUUAGCAUGGCCCUGUGCAUGGAUGACACACAAAUUUGUGAAGCACUCCAUAUUUUU
Fukomys damarensis (Damara mole-rat) is the source of this 108-nucleotide small nuclear RNA. The record is from Ensembl. Lineage: Eukaryota; Metazoa; Chordata; Mammalia; Rodentia; Bathyergidae.